UACGGAGGAGGCAAGCGUUAUCCGGAAUUAUUGGGCGUAAAGCGUCCGCAGGUGGCACUUCAAGUCUGCUGUCAAAGACCGGGGCUUAACUUCGGAAAGGCAGUGGAAACUGAACAGCUAGAGUAUGGUAGGGGCAGAGGGAAUUCCUGGUGUAGCGGUGAAAUGCGUAGAGAUCAGGAAGAACAUCGGUGGCGAAGGCGCUCUGCUGGACCAUAACUGACACUCAGGGACGAAAGCUAGGGGAGCGAAUGGG
This 253-nucleotide ribosomal RNA is filed under the name uncultured bacterium. RNAcentral's name for it is "partial 16S ribosomal RNA". It matches the Rfam family "Bacterial small subunit ribosomal RNA", at positions 524 to 776 of the family's 1533-position model. The record is from RNAcentral.